Molecule: long non-coding RNA, 336 nt
Organism: Anopheles arabiensis
Lineage: Eukaryota; Metazoa; Arthropoda; Insecta; Diptera; Culicidae
Exons: 3
Source: RefSeq, a predicted model, not a curated record
ACAGCGCAGUACGCCGUACGUACCACACUUGCGUCGAUCCGAAUGGUUGCGCAGACGUUAAAGUGAGUGCGCCCUUCUAUUGCGCCAGUGCGUAGCGUGGUGGUUCUGUUUUCGAGCGCCAAAUCACGCGGUGCAGCCAAAUCGUGCUGAACGAAAACCAGACACUAUCAGGUUUAUAUUGAAAUGAUAUCGAUACAGGUCAAACGUGCGUGUGUGACUCGGGUGGCUGAUGAUCGAGACACAGGGUCGAGAAAAAUGAUUCGGCUCGGCUCUAUCGUAUAGCUCGAUCAUCGCUUCCAGGCCCUUGCGUGCCGCCGAUUGCAAUGCCAGCUGCAU